Long non-coding RNA from Mastomys coucha (southern multimammate mouse), 347 nucleotides. RefSeq lists it as uncharacterized. The transcript is spliced from 3 exons. NCBI's taxonomy places the organism in Eukaryota, Metazoa, Chordata, Mammalia, Rodentia, Muridae. The record is from RefSeq and is a predicted model, not a curated record.
CUUCCAAGGUUGCUGCUCCAACAUGCUACUAUUCUGCAGGCUGGCUUAAGCAGAGAGGGGGAGUUGGAGUGGAGUGAUCUGCCAGGUCUCUUCAGCAGCCUCAGCUGCUGCUCCAGUCAGGAGAUCCAGCAUACGUACGGAAGUAACAGGACAAUCCUCCUCGCUACCUGGACUUGGCUCUUUCCUUCCAACGUGUCUGUAGAAGAAAGAGGCAAUUUCUGCCCAGUAGCUACCUUGCCACAAUGUACUAUCUCACCUGGAGGUAGACACGCUCAGUUUCUUCGAAUCUACGAAUGGGGAGCUGCUGUUUGUCUCAACAACAAAUGAAUAAAUAAUAUUAAUUGUCA